Molecule: non-coding RNA, 3219 nt
Organism: Drosophila melanogaster (fruit fly)
Lineage: Eukaryota; Metazoa; Arthropoda; Insecta; Diptera; Drosophilidae
Source: Ensembl
ACUUUUUAAUAAAACCAAAAUGCAAACAUUGAGGCCAAAGCCUUUUUAUUAAUUUAAGUCAGCUUAGAAGUAGACGAGCCACAAUCCAGAUACGUACCUAUUUAUUGGACCGCAACACUGAUAUCCAUACACGAACUUAGCAGCACUGUCCCGGGACCAAUGCUUUUGCAACACUUGAUCUGGCGUGCCUGGCAGAAAUCAAAACAAACGCACAGCACAACCACCCACACAGACAUGCAUGCAUACAUACAUACGGACAGCACAAAGAGCAGACAACAAAACCGCGUUCUGUGUUUUUCGUGAAAUGUCGUUUAUUUGGUGGCGGUUACUCGCGUUGACAAACAAAGGCAGGGCAACGCACCCACCGCCCUCUGAGAUAUCAUACUUGGUUAGCUGCAUACAUUCGCAAAUGUAAGCGCCAACAACUAAUGUUUGCCUAGGACAAAUCCGGACCCAGGAGUUUGGACUUUCCUGUUUCGUGCGCCGCCUAGGGACGCACUUCUGGCGUCAUGAACUGGCCUCCUCCAGAAUUGGUGUCGCCCUCGCCACUCCGCCGUUCUUCUCCAGAACCAGGUUGCCAACUACAUCAGCACCCUCGCUAUCCGAAUCCUGCAUAAGUGGGCUGUCGAGAAUUCGAAGAUUUUUUAAGUCUUCAUACUGAUUGGCAAUAUCCAACGUAACUGGGUCAGGUGGAGGUUGAAGUCUGCUUAACUCCAGCAACUGCAGAUGGUAGUAGACACCCUCGUCAUCUAUGGCAUAAAAGUGGGAGAAGUGGGCGUCUGUGAAGAACUGACGAGCUUCAUUUCCCACAAAUUUAACGCAGGCCAGGAGUUCCGGACGGAUGGCAUUGCCGCGCUUAUUCCGCCACAGUUCCGCAGUCCCUCGGUUCACCGGAUGAAACUCGUCGGCAACGAAUGUCACAUCUACAUCGAUGUCCGCUGCAAUGGGCGCCGCAUCCACAGCAUCCUCUUGUGUAACACUGUGCUGCUUAUGGCGUCGACUGCGCCGCCGUUUUUGCUCGCGCUCCAAUUGAUUGUUGCGCAUGUGCGUCACAUUCCAGAAGCACAGCUGCUCCGCGCAGCUGAUCAGGAGCAACUUACAUGGCGAGAAUAGCAAUUGCCGGAUGCAGUGCUCGUGGACCUCUUCAAUGCUGUAGAUCAGUUGAACUUUUCUGUUUUCAACGGCAAAGAGCUGUUGGGAAAUGUAUAAUUAGCAGGAAAUAAUUAUGAAACGAAUUUGUAAGACGUAUGUAUACCUCUAAAGUGCCAUUUUCGAAACCCAUAGCCAACAUGGUACCAUCAUCCGUGGCUACCAAAUAGCUGAUCUUGGCCUUCUGGGCGAUCUCUUCUUCGCAAAUCUGUUCGUACCUUAGUUGGUUACAGCUGAAUAUUAAACGGAAUACCUGUCGUUGGAAAUAAUUGAUAAUUGUUUAAUGAUAUUAUGUUUAGCAAACCCACAUCGAUGAUGUUGUUUUCGUAGGCCAGAAAGAGAAGACUGUUCUUUAGAUCAAAGCCGACAAUGUAUUCCUCCGAAUCCUUUGGUUUCACGAAUGCAGAUGGGUUAGCUAUAUCCAGAUGCUGUUGACUCCGUGGUCGGAAAACAAAAUGAUAUACUGUCCUUCCUGCAAGGACGCGUACUUGGUACUAACAUCCAUCAUCAAUGGCCACUGGUCAUUGGGUUGCAGCGGAUCUAUCUUUUCCAGCUGGAAUAUCACAGUCUUCUGGGCACUGUGUGCCGACGCCACCAGAAUGUUGGGACUGACCUGUUUGAGGUAAUCAAUGGGCUCCUCUAUAAACUGCUGAGGUAGCGCUGUAUCAUGAAUAACAUCUAUUAUCACUCCGUCCACAUAGCCAACGAAAAUCUGUUCGUCGUUAAAGGCGGAUAUGGCAUUUAUCUUACAGUUACUGGCAGCAUGAGUGGGUGUGAUUGUGGACCAUUCGGAAAUUCUAGAAAUGGCCGGUUUAAUUAGGUGAAUGCGCUCCUUGGAGUCCACAGCCAGAAGUUGCGUCCGCUCUCUGGUCAUGUCCAUCAGAGAACGCAGAUAGACAUUAGGCUCCAAGCAAGCCUUUGUCAUCACGCUUAUCUCAUCUGCACUGUGAACCCAGGCGAUUUCCCUGUUUUGAUGUGAAUUCGAGCCGCUUACAGAGCGCAAUGUGUGCACAUGGACCACCUGUUUUCCCUUAGCGCCGCACAAAACAAUGUACUUAUAGACAGGAUCAAACAGCUCGUAUAUAUCCACACACUCUAUAUGUUCGCUGACAUUGCUGCGUAGCACGGGAUCAGAGAUUUUCAGAUCAUACACAAUAAGUCCCUCGGACGUGCCCAGCAGUAGGUAACGUCCGUCAGUCGAACGCUUUCCGCAGGUGAUGAAACUUCCUUCUGGCAGUUGCACUGCCUCCGAUUGCAAACUAACCGAAAGACCUGGCAAAAAAUUGAGCCGCCAUACGCUGUACUUAAAAAUCAGCAACACGGUGGCGGUCUUACUCCUUUCGUCAAAUACAUCUAAGGCCAACGGCGUGUCGUUUUCGACAUUAAAAACAUGUAGUUCCAGCGUAUUGCUGGAACCGUUGGUCAAAUCCCAUACAGUAAGUGUGCAAUUUGAGGUGCAGACCACGUAAUAUCGCUUUAAAACCUGAACGAAACACCGUAUUCCCGACUGCAUCGUUUUCAAAACAGGCACGUGCGACAGUUUGAACUCCUGAUCUUGUUCGUCCCAAUUCAAAAUACUCACAUCACCAUUGAUGAAUGCCACAUGCAGUUGGAUGUUGGCCUCUGGCAAUCCGGCGUCUUCAUUUAAAUAGAAAGCAACAAUUUUCAGAUUUGCAUAGCUCCCUAUAAAGCGUUUAACCACGCUAUUGACUAGCUGCUGCUUGCUACCACCACUGUGGCGCCUUCCUGGACAAUCGGGCCACAGGGACCAAAGUUUUACGCUGCCGUUGCAGUGCAAGGUGAUCAAGUGCUUCUGUUGGUUAAAUACCGCCAUACGCAGAAUGUCACUGCUGUCGCUCUCGUCCCUUAGCAAAUAGGUGUCCUCUCCCUCCAGCGAAACAUCGGUUAGCAGGAUCUGCCCGCUGGCCAGCGCUAUCAAGCAAAAGUCGUUGUGAAGGUAGACAGCAUGGCGCCCCUCAUUAUCACCCAGGUUUAUAAUCUGACGGUGCUGGUGGAAACGACCGCUGAUAAAAGGAAAAAGUGAAAUAAUAAUAAUAAAGUAACUUUAAU